CUAGUACGAGAGGACCGGGAAGGACGCACCUCUGGUGUACCAGUUAUCGUGCCUACGGUAAACGCUGGGUAGCCAAGUGCGGAGAGGAUAACUGCUGAAAGCAUAUAAGUAGUAAGCCCACCCCAAGAUGAGUGCUCUCUCCUCCGACUUCCCUAGAGCCUCCGGUAUCACAACCGAGACAGCGGCGGGUUCUCCACCCAU
RNAcentral lists this ribosomal RNA (201 nucleotides) under Triticum aestivum (bread wheat). RNAcentral describes it as "partial small subunit ribosomal RNA". The stretch from base 1 to 137 matches the Rfam family "Bacterial large subunit ribosomal RNA", at positions 2678 to 2813 of the family's 2925-position model. Lineage: Eukaryota; Viridiplantae; Streptophyta; Magnoliopsida; Poales; Poaceae. The record is from RNAcentral.